CCCCUCUCAGGGUCACCCCUGGAGAGUUUCCAGUAUUCUACCAGUCUUGACUACAUGAGGGAGAGUCAAGCAGAGGCUUGUCCAUUCAAUUCCUAGCUUGGGCAGUGGCUAGCGAGUGGAAGGCCAUCUGCUACAAGU
Ornithorhynchus anatinus (platypus) is the source of this 138-nucleotide non-coding RNA. Lineage: Eukaryota; Metazoa; Chordata; Mammalia; Monotremata; Ornithorhynchidae. The record is from Rfam.